This 80-nucleotide transfer RNA is filed under the name Bos taurus (domestic cattle). It matches the Rfam family "tRNA". Rfam says of the family: Transfer RNA (tRNA) molecules are approximately 80 nucleotides in length. The record is from Rfam by way of RNAcentral. Lineage: Eukaryota; Metazoa; Chordata; Mammalia; Artiodactyla; Bovidae. RNAcentral also lists the same sequence under 3 other names.
UCCCAGGUGGCUCAGUGGUAAAGACUCUGCCUGCAAUGCAGGAGCUGCAAGAGACCCGGGUUCGAUCCCUGGAUUGGGAA